RNAcentral lists this ribosomal RNA (495 nucleotides) under uncultured bacterium. Its description in RNAcentral is "bacterial SSU rRNA". It matches the Rfam family "Bacterial small subunit ribosomal RNA", at positions 30 to 518 of the family's 1533-position model. The record is from RNAcentral.
AUUGAACGCUGGCGACAGGCCUAACACAUGCAAGUCGAGCGCGAAAGUCUUCGGAUGAGUAAAGCGGCGAACGGGUGAGUAAUGCAUGGGAAUCUGCCUGGUAGUGGGGGACAACGUCUCGAAAGGGACGCUAAUACCGCAUACGCCCUACGGGGGAAAGGGGGGGAGUCUUCGGACCUCUCGCUAUCAGAUGAGCCCAUGUCAGAUUAGCUAGUUGGUGAGGUAAAGGCUCACCAAGGCGACGAUCUGUAACUGGUCUGAGAGGAUGAUCAGUCACACUGGAACUGAGACACGGUCCAGACUCCUACGGGAGGCAGCAGUGGGGAAUAUUGGACAAUGGGGGGCAACCCCUGAUCCAGCCAUGCCGCGUGUGUGAAGAAGGCCCUAGGGUUGUAAAGCACUUUCAGUGGGGAGAAAGGGUUAUUCACCUAAUACGUGAGUAGAUUGAUGUUACCCACAGAAGAAGCACCGGCGUAACUCCGUGCCAGCAGCCGC